RNAcentral lists this ribosomal RNA (806 nucleotides) under uncultured bacterium. Its description in RNAcentral is "bacterial SSU rRNA". It matches the Rfam family "Bacterial small subunit ribosomal RNA", at positions 8 to 807 of the family's 1533-position model. The record is from RNAcentral.
AGAGUUUGAUCCUGGCUCAGAUUGAACGCUGGCGGCAGGCUUAACACAUGCAAGUCGAGCGGGGAUAGGUAGCUUGCUACCGAUUCCUAGCGGCGGACGGGUGAGUAAUGCUUAGGAAUCUGCCUAUUAGUGGGGGACAACGUUCCGAAAGGAACGCUAAUACCGCAUACGUCCUACGGGAGAAAGCAGGGGAUCUUCGGACCUUGCGCUAAUAGAUGAGCCUAAGUCGGAUUAGCUAGUUGGUGGGGUAAAGGCCUACCAAGGCGACGAUCUGUAGCGGGUCUGAGAGGAUGAUCCGCCACACUGGGACUGAGACACGGCCCAGACUCCUACGGGAGGCAGCAGUGGGGAAUAUUGGACAAUGGGGGCAACCCUGAUCCAGCCAUGCCGCGUGUGUGAAGAAGGCCUUUUGGUUGUAAAGCACUUUAAGCGAGGAGGAGGCUUACCUAGAUAAUACCUAGGAUAAGUGGACGUUACUCGCAGAAUAAGCACCGGCUAACUCUGUGCCAGCAGCCGCGGUAAUACAGAGGGUGCGAGCGUUAAUCGGAUUUACUGGGCGUAAAGCGUACGUAGGCGGCUAAUUAAGUCGGAUGUGAAAUCCCCGAGCUCAACUUGGGAAUUGCAUUCGAUACUGGUUAGCUAGAGUAUGGGAGAGGAUGGUAGAAUUCCAGGUGUAGCGGUGAAAUGCGUAGAGAUCUGGAGGAAUACCGAUGGCGAAGGCAGCCAUCUGGCCUAAUACUGACGCUGAGGUACGAAAGCAUGGGGAGCAAACAGGAUUAGAUACCCUGGUAGUCCAUGCCGUAAAC